ACGGAAGGCAGCAGUGGGGAAUAUUGCGCAAUGGGGGAAACCCUGACGCAGCGACGCCGCGUGAGUGAUGAGUAUUUCGGUAUGUAAAGCUCUAUCAGCAGGGAAGAUAAUGACGGUGCCUGACUAAGAAGCACCGGCUAAAUACGUGCCAGCGGCCGCGGUAAUACGUAUGGCGCAAGCGUUAUCCGGAUUUACUGGGUGUAAAGGGAGCGUAGGCGGUUUGGCAAGCCAGGAGUGAAAACCCGUGGCUCAACCAGGAGGAUUGCUUUUGGAACUGUUGGACUAGAGUGCAGGAGGGGUAAGUGGAAUUCCCAGUGUAGCGGUGAAAUGCUUAGAUAUUGGGAGGAACACCAGUGGCGAAGGCGGCUUACUGGACUGUAACUGACGCUGAGGCUCGAAAGCGUGGGGAGCAAACAGGAUUAGAUACCCUGGUA
RNAcentral lists this ribosomal RNA (434 nucleotides) under uncultured Lachnospiraceae bacterium. RNAcentral's name for it is "partial 16S ribosomal RNA". It matches the Rfam family "Bacterial small subunit ribosomal RNA", at positions 341 to 792 of the family's 1533-position model. Lineage: Bacteria; Bacillati; Bacillota; Clostridia; Lachnospirales; Lachnospiraceae. The record is from RNAcentral.